CCUACGGGAGGCAGCAGUGGGGAAUAUUGCGCAAUGGGCGAAAGCCUGACGCAGCGACGCCGCGUGAGGGAUGAAGGUCUUCGGAUCGUAAACCUCUGUCAGCAGGGAAGAACGGUCACUGUGCUAAUCAGCAGUGACUUGACGGUACCUGCAAAGGAAGCACCGGCUAACUCCGUGCCAGCAGCCGCGGUAAUACGGAGGGUGCGAGAGUUAAUCGGAAUUACUGGGCGUAAAGCGCGCGUAGGCGGGAUUUCAAGUCACGGGUGAAUUCCCCGCGCUCAACGUGGGAACUGCCUUUGAAACUGGGAGACUGGAGUGUGUGAGAGGCUAGCGGAAUUCCAGGUGUAGGGGUGAAAUGCGUAGAUAUCAGGAGGAACACCAGUGGCGAAGGCGACCAGCUGGAACAUAACUGACGCUGAGGAGCGAAAGCGUGGGGAGCAAACAGGAUUAGAUACCCGAGUAGUC
RNAcentral lists this ribosomal RNA (465 nucleotides) under uncultured bacterium. RNAcentral's name for it is "partial 16S ribosomal RNA". It matches the Rfam family "Bacterial small subunit ribosomal RNA", at positions 338 to 795 of the family's 1533-position model. The record is from RNAcentral.